Long non-coding RNA from Camelus dromedarius (Arabian camel), 4177 nucleotides. RefSeq lists it as uncharacterized. The transcript has 4 exons. Lineage: Eukaryota; Metazoa; Chordata; Mammalia; Artiodactyla; Camelidae. The record is from RefSeq and is a predicted model, not a curated record.
CACCCCCUACCCAGAGCACGCUAGGCCCCUCUGCCUAGAGCUGGGGGGAACAGGACCCAGAAAUGUCAUGGUUCAGACAGAGGCAUCAACACAACACGGACCUUCUGUGCCCUAACCAUGGCUGGUGACUCUUCCAGGAACAUGGUUUCCUGGACCUGAAAAGUAAGAACGUCAGAGGCCCCAUCAACCCUAUUGUGAGGAAGCCCAAGCCACACAGAGAGGCCACUACAGGUGUUCUGGCCAACAGCCCCAGCUGAGGUCUCGGCCAAUGGCCAGCUUCAACCACUAGACAUAUGCAUGGAUGACUCUUCAAGUGAUUCCUGCCCCCAGACUGCGAACCAUCCGAGGUAAUGCCAGGCGGAACAGAGAUGAACCUCAGAGCCCUGCUCAGAUGCAGAUAGGAGGACAAAAUAAAUGAUCCGUGAUGGCCUGGUCUCUUGGCCCAGCUUCUUCCUACCUGUCCCUCCACCCCAUCUCAGAACCAGCUCACCUGCAGAGAAGCCCACUAUGCUUCUGCUCAAGUCACCUCCACACCCUCAUUUCACCUGGGAGACAAUCCCUCGAAGGCUUUAGGGAGGUGAGUGAUGGCACAGCAAAUAAGCAGCUGAGCAAAGAUUCGAACCCCAGGCUCUUGACUCCAAGUCUGGACUCUUUCUUCACUAGCUGCCUCCAGUACCCAAAGGGGCAUCACUGUCCACAUUACUGCAGGGGCAGGACCACACCAGGAGGUAUUGGGGGUCAGCCAAGCUCUGUGUCUGCCAGAGAGGCUCUCAAAGCACAUCCUCAGGCAAGAGACCUAAUGCUGCCCCUAGGCAGAGGUCCCGUGGCCACAGUGGGAGGCACUGGGCUGGGAAAUACAGGGAGGGGAGGCCCCCACUUGGUCAGGUAUGGACAUGAAUGUAAGGGCUAGGCCGAUCUGUCAAGGUUACAGCCAACCUCUCUGUGCUUCAGCCUCCCCCCAACCCGUGACAUGAGGACCGCGGUAGCCACACAGCUGGGUCGUUGUGAGCAUAAAAUGAGGCAAAGACCCCUUAGCCUGGCAUGAACAUCGACAUUACUGUCCGUGGUGCCAGGGAAGCUGGGCUGCUGGGCCGCACAGGAGUUGCCUGGAGUCCCUGUGAGGAGGCAGACCCAGGCUUAUAAGGAGGAGACAACUGACUCCCGGAUCCCCACCCUCCAGACCUUUGAAUUUGCUGAGAAUGUUUUGUUUUAGGAAUCAAAUCUCUACUGUAAAAAAGAGGUUUAUAAUUCUAGUAGUUUCGAGGAAUGCAUCUGGGAGAGUCACUGGUUGAUUGGAGAGUCACUUUGGGUUAAAUUUUAGUUUUUUAAAACUCAGAUUUCCUUCAGGACAUUUCGUUCAUUUGUCUGGUGAAGACAAGCAGGGUCAGGAAAUAGGAAUGUGCGUUGACAGCCCACUGCUGGUCACCUGGCUUUGGAGCCUAGCUCUGCACGUUAUCCAGUGCAAGUUAUUCAACCUGCUAAGCCUCAGUUUCCUCAUUUGUAAAAUAGAGGAAGAUGAGAUACUGUGUGUGAAGGGUCCAGCCCCUGCUCCUGCUGCACCUGCUGAGUUGUAGCUCCACAGGGGUCCUUUAAAGUGGCACCUACAAGGUGCUGAGGAAAAGAUCCCUUGGGGGUGGGGAGAAACCUGGGUACACUUCCUGGAGGUGGUGGCUCUGAAGAAAGAAGAAGGCAGUCGAGGUAGAGGGAAUAGCUUGUGAGUAAGAAGAGCAGGGCAGCAGGAAACCACAGGGCCCACAAAAAUGGUUACAACUGGGAUGUGAGACUCAGAGAGGGAAGAUGCCGAGGACGGUGGGGAUGAGAAUGCUUCGGGAGCUCGGGUGACAGGCUCCGAGUCACCUGCAGAGGCGGGUUCCAACUGGGGCUCUGGGCUGCUUCUGGGAAGAGUUCCUGGAUCUAUUCUCAGAGCUCCCAAGGGACAGGGAGGGCUGAGUGAUUCAGGUUUGCUGUGCUGUUGACACAGCUUCCUGACAUGCAUGUUGACAGGCAGGUUCCUGGAGGGCGUGGCUUCCCACCCGCCACCCCUGCAGCCUCUCGACCCACAGGAGGGUCAAGGGAAGUGAGGUUCGACCCAUGCCUGAGUUAUUCAUCAAACAGCCCAGAAAGCCAACAAGAGACGCCCACGCUAAUAAUAAAAAUAACAAUUCCUUAAAUGUGAUCAGAAGCAUGGGCGCUCUCUUAGCUGAGGCUGGCCUCCCUGUGAGGUCACUCUCACUACCCUCUUUCCACAGCCAAGGAAACUGAGACUGGGGAGGGAAGUGGCUCCACUGAGGCCAGUCAUUAGGUGAUUGUGCCCCCAGGGUGUCUGUGUGUGUUGUGGGGGCAGGGAGACUGGGCACAGUGGGGAAGAGAGCUCUGCCUGGGGACAGUAAUGCAGUGGGUUCCCCCAGUCUUGGGAGGGGUUAAGGGGGUAUCGCUGGGCCCAGGGUCUCUCAUUGCUUUCCUCACAGGCCCUGCAGCAGGAGCAGCAAACUGGAAAGCCCUGGAACAGCGUGCCUUAGGCGGGCACAGUAAGGUGGCAGUGAGACCCCAAUGGGGUGGACAAAGCUUGGUGUGGAUGGAGGGGGUCUUGCAGGGGCCAGAUAAGGGAGGUGGACUCUGAGCAGAGAGAUGGGGGCAGGUCUCCUGGGCAAUCUGCCGGCGUACCAUGGGGAGACUGAGGUCCAGGAAAAAACGGCUUGUGUCGCCCAGGCUGGAUUAGACUAGACCAGCCCAGUGGGAAGGGAUAAAUUGGGAGUUCGAGAUUUACAGAUACUAACUACUGUGUAUAAAAAAGAUAAACAAGUUUCUACUGUAUAGCACAGGGAACUAUAUUCAAUAUCUUGUGGUAACCUAUUAUGAAAAAGAAUAUGAAAACAAAUAUAUGAAUGUAUAUGUAUGACUGAAAUAUUACGCUGCACACAGGAAAUUGAUGUAACAUUGUAAACUGACUAUAUUUCAAUUAAAAAUAAAAUUAAAGAAAAAAAAAAAGAAUAGACCAGCCCAGGUCUGAACUGAGUCCCGUUCCCCUGCGGCUCUGAAGCAGUCCCCACCAGGCGUCCUGAAGUGUGAGCAUCCCAGCCGCACCGCCGUCAUAAGUGCAGCAGCCUCCCAAGGGGCCUGCUUCAGGGGUGAGGCGUAUUCGGAUGGAUGCUUCCUAGCUGUGCUGGUGACACCUCUGAUACCCCAUCUCCCUUGAUAGACAGGGCCCCUCCUCCCCCACAUUAAAGGUAAGGCCUGAUUCUCCUGCUAUCUGGGCACAGUGUGUGAGUGGACAGACUGAUUUUUGAAUUCCAAUCCCUGCUGGACCGAGCUCUCCCCUAUGGCCAGCUGUUCUUUCCCUGGCCGGGCAGCCAGCACCAGACCAGACAAUGGUUAGUUGUUGGAACACUCCCAGGCCUGUCCAGAUUUGGCCUGCCAGGCCUUCCAGAGCCAGAGGGGACCUUCCUGCAGGCUCUGACUAACAGCGCCCUGGUUCUGUGUAGCAUCACAACAGAGCCUGUUGCCAGGGCGACCUCCAGACCUGGUGGCCUGGGACCUGGGGUUGCUGGCAUAGCACUUAUGGUGCAGCACCCCCCGGCUUAGCUGGGCUAUGCAGGACAAUUAGGCAGGAGGAGGCCCUGUCUGGGCCUUUGGGGCUGGCUCAGCCUGCAGGGAGAGCAGAGAGGAAAUGGAGUCCUUGGCUUCUCUCUCUUUUUCCCAGGGCCUUGGUCUUCUGAUUUCUCUAGCAGGGACCCCACAUGGUCACUUCAUCACCUGGACCAGGGUCCCAGGCAGCAGCAUGGGUGCCUCUGGAGCUUUCUCACCCCUGUAUCCCAUCCAUCACCACAGGCAUUCUCCCCUCCCUACUGCACCCUGUCUUCAGCCCCAGACUCAACUCAGGCUCUCUCUUGAGCCCAGUCUGGAUCACAGCCCAGCCUCCUGGCUAGACUCUGGGCUUCAUGUUCCCAAAGUGGCCUCAAUGCAUCCAGCCCUUUCCUCCAGGAUCCCUCCCUAGCUUCCCCAUCACUCUUGGCCACAGAUGAACCUCACCGUCCCAUCAGUGAAAGCAAAGUUCAUGUGAUCUAACCAAAAUGUGCAUUUAUUUGUAAAUUAUAUAUAUAAUCACUGUACAAACAAAUUGAAUGAAUUAUAAAAUACAUACCAAAAAAUAGAAACUGAAAAAAGAAUAAGAGAGUAA